AAGUCGUAACAAGGUUUCCGUAGGUGAACCUGCGGAAGGAUCAUCAAUGAAUUCUUAUAUUCAAUCUGGCUUUGGUGACCUUUUUGGCCAUGUGCUGGAAGGUUAUCUCUGCCUAUCAACCACCAGUCUCAGUCUUUGUGGAAGGUGUCUUUUGUUUAGUGUCAAGAGCCCUUUUGCGAUCGACUUUGACUUUUUUUGAGUUUGGUAGGUUCGCUUGCAGGUUUUUCGAGGCAUGGUUAUUUUUGGGAUCAGCCUUGGCAACUUACAACAACCUCCUCCAUUCUCGUCAUUGUGGGCAACACAAAUUGUAAUUGAUACAACUUUUAACGAUGGAUCUCUUGGCUCCC
Molecule: unclassified non-coding RNA, 347 nt
Filed under: fungal sp.
Lineage: Eukaryota; Fungi
Description: partial internal transcribed spacer region
Rfam family: Eukaryotic small subunit ribosomal RNA (bases 1-46)
Source: RNAcentral